AUUUUGCGUUGUCUGGGCUCGGCGGCAGCCGGGCUCGGAGUGGACGUGCCACUAUGGGGUCGUCCAAGAAGCAUCGCGGAGAGAAGGAGGCGGCCGGGACGACGGCGGCAGCCGGCACUGGGGGCGCCACCGAGCAGCCGCCGCGGCACCGGGAACACAAAAAACACAAGCAUCGGAGUGGCGGCAGUGGCGGUAGCGGUGGCGAACGACGGAAGCGGAGCCGGGAACGUGGGGGCGAGCGCGGGAGCGGGCGGCGCGGGGCCGAAGCUGAGGCCCGGAGCAGCACGCACGGGCGGGAGCGCAGCCAGGCAGAGCCCUCGGAGCGGCGCGUGAAGCGCGAGAAGCGCGAUGACGGCUACGAGGCCGCUAGAGCCAACGAUGCUGGCUUCUUGGCCCUGUGUUCAGCUCCUGAGCCAUGCUUCUUCUUGUUCCAGCUGCCAGCUCCAAAACUAGCUCAGGCGAUGCCUCCUCACUCAGCAUCGAGGAGACUAAGUGAGUACUGUCUCCCUUGCUUCUACUUUGUUUUUCUAAGAGAGGUGGCUCUGGGGCCAGCACGGGGGAGGCUUUCUCACAUGAAAGUGUGCUAAUCGGAGUUGGAAAGAUUGUUUAAAUCAUCUUAGCCAACAGUUGAGUUAUAGAAGAGAAAACUAAAACCUAAGAGUAAGGUGGCAUUCACUGGUUAGACGCAGACCAGGCUGGCGCCCAUGGUUCCUGCUUUGGAGGCCAGGACCCUUCCCAGUGUCCUAGGCUGCCUGGGGCCGACUGUGUGUUUGGGACCACUCACUCCCACCCUGUUUCUCCUCCUGUCUGUCUGGAAAUGCACAUGGCGCCCUGUGUCUUUGAUAGCCCCUAACACUUGUAUCUCUUGUUCUC
RNAcentral lists this small RNA (873 nucleotides) under Pongo abelii (Sumatran orangutan). RNAcentral's name for it is "retained intron". Lineage: Eukaryota; Metazoa; Chordata; Mammalia; Primates; Hominidae. The record is from RNAcentral.